GCCUCUUUCAACAAGUGUCGCUCCCAAGAAUUGGACUGUCAACCUUAGAUAUCCAAUGAGAUCCUAUAUCACUAGACUAAAACCUUAUUGGUAAUUACCUAAUAAUAUACAAAAGGAUAUGAUUUUCCAAUACACAACCUCUUUCCUUUUGUAAAAUAGCAUUAACUCCGAUCAACUAAAUUGUGAACAUGAAUUAUAAACUUGUUCACAUUAGCAUUGUCUUUAAUCCAUUGCCCCCUUCACCAUUCCGUAAGGUUUCCUACCCCGCCGAAAAUAUUUCUAUUUUUUGUAAGCAUUUGAUGUAAAUUUGAUAAUGUCUUCUAACUACAUAGUUUAAUCAAAUCCAAUUUUCUAUCCACAGGUUACUAAAAAAAGGAUUUGCCCCUUUACUAACAAAGACAUUAUGAUAGAAUUGCACUGAAAAUUAAAUCUUGAUUCUAAACCUUUUAAGAGGAAAUGUAUUGAUAAUCCAGAGAAGAAAAAAAUGCCUAACAUGAUAAGAGUUUGUU
RNAcentral lists this long non-coding RNA (509 nucleotides) under Lupinus angustifolius (narrow-leaved blue lupine). RNAcentral's name for it is "long non-coding RNA (LANG_LNC001939)". Lineage: Eukaryota; Viridiplantae; Streptophyta; Magnoliopsida; Fabales; Fabaceae. The record is from RNAcentral.